AUUUGUUUGCAAACCAUUCAUCAGUACAAUCCUCCUCAAAAGAGUAAUAACAUUAAUCAGACUACAAAUCAUUAAAGUGGCCUAUAAAACUUAAUUCAUGACUCGUAGUAUCAAAGAACCAUCUAGGCAGCUGAAGUAGAAAUCCUAGCAUCACGAGUACAUCUAUAGGCACUGCAUAAGUAAAAAUUUCAAGAAGAAUAUUACACUUCCAUGACUUCAUAUGAAAAUUUGUGGAAGUUGAUAAAGAAGUAAACUCACUGCAAAUCGUUGACACGGCGU
RNAcentral lists this unclassified non-coding RNA (279 nucleotides) under Hevea brasiliensis (rubber tree). The record is from RNAcentral. Lineage: Eukaryota; Viridiplantae; Streptophyta; Magnoliopsida; Malpighiales; Euphorbiaceae.